RNAcentral lists this ribosomal RNA (747 nucleotides) under uncultured bacterium. RNAcentral's name for it is "bacterial SSU rRNA". It matches the Rfam family "Bacterial small subunit ribosomal RNA", at positions 60 to 826 of the family's 1533-position model. The record is from RNAcentral.
AGUCGAACGAUUAAGCACCUUCGGGUGUGUAUAGAGUGGCGAACGGGUGAGUAACACGUGACCAACCUGCCUCUUACAUUGGGACAACCAAAAGAAAUUCUGGCUAAUACCAAAUACUUCGCACAUAUCACAUGAUGUAUGCGGGAAAGCUUUUGCGGUAAGAGAUGGGGUCGCGGCCCAUUAGGUAGACGGCGGGGUAGAAGCCCACCGUGCCGAUGAUGGGUAGCCGGGUUGAGAGACCGACCGGCCACAUUGGGACUGAGAUACGGCCCAGACUCCUACGGGAGGCAGCAGUGGGGAAUAUUGCGCAAUGGGGGAAACCCUGACGCAGCAACGCCGCGUGCGGGAUGAAGGCCUUCGGGUUGUAAACCGCUUUCAGCAGGGAAGACAUCGACGGUACCUACAGAAGAAGCCCCGGCUAACUACGUGCCAGCAGCCGCGGUAAUACGUAGGGGGCGAGCGUUAUCCGGAUUCAUUGGGCGUAAAGCGCGCGCAGGCGGUUGCUCAAGCGGAACCUCUAAUCUCGGGGCUUAACCUCGAGCCGGGUUCCGAACUGGACGACUCGAGUGCGGUAGAGGCAGAUGGAAUUCCCGGUGUAGCGGUGGAAUGCGCAGAUAUCGGGAAGAACACCAACGGCGAAGGCAGUCUGCUGGGCCGUCACUGACGCUGAGGCGCGAAAGCUGGGGGAGCGAACAGGAUUAGAUACCCUGGUAGUCCCAGCCGUAAACGAUGAGCGCUGGGUGUGGG